This is a long non-coding RNA of Vespa crabro (European hornet), 452 nucleotides long. RefSeq lists it as uncharacterized. The transcript is spliced from 3 exons. The record is from RefSeq and is a predicted model, not a curated record. Lineage: Eukaryota; Metazoa; Arthropoda; Insecta; Hymenoptera; Vespidae.
UUCUUCUCUAGCAUAAACAUCUGGAUACUGUGCACGUUGAAAAGCAGCCUCGAGUUGUUCAAGUUGUUCUCCAGUGAACGUUGUUCUACUUCUACGUUGUUUUCGUUUCAGAGGUGUAUGUGUGCCACAGUCAUCAAGGUAUCCAUAAAGUUCUCGUAAAAUAAACGUCCAACAUGCCAUUUUGUUCGACGUCGUCAAGACGCCAUUUUGUCGAGUGUUUCAAAGCUAUCAGCAGACUAUUGAUUCUUACGUGUGGAGAUCUAAACAAGUGGAUAAGGAGGGUCUGAUCUUUGAGCAAGGACUUAGCCUGUACCGUAGCUAACGUUGAAUCCUUCCUGAGCCUAUCAAGAACCUUUUAACAUCGGCUUGGGUUUGCGAAUUCGCACUGAUCAAUGUAUUGAUGUUUAUUUGUGCGAUGAGCAGCUCGUGCAUUCUUUUUCUUUUCUUUUUUA